This 496-nucleotide ribosomal RNA is filed under the name uncultured bacterium. Its description in RNAcentral is "partial 16S ribosomal RNA". It matches the Rfam family "Bacterial small subunit ribosomal RNA", at positions 28 to 506 of the family's 1533-position model. The record is from RNAcentral.
GAUGAACGCUGGCGGCGUGCCUAAUACAUGCAAGUCGAGCGAACAGACGAGGAUCUUGCUCCUCUUACGUUAGCGGCGGACGGGUGAGUAACACGUGGAUAACCUACCUAUAAGACUGGGAUAACUUCGGGAAACCGGAGCUAAUACCGGAUAAUAUAUUGAACCGCAUGGUUCAAUAGUUAACGACGGUUUUGCUGUCUCUUAUAGAUGGAUCCGCGCCGCAUUAGCUAGUUGGUAAGGUAACGGCUUACCAAGGCGACGAUGCGUAGCCGACCUGAGAGGGUGAUAGGCAAAACUGGAACUGAGACACGGUCAAGAAACCAACGGGAGGCAGCAGUAGGGAAACUGCCGCAAAGGGCGAAAGCCUGACGGAGAAACGCCGCGUGAGUGAUGAAGGUCUUCGGAUCGUAAAACGCUGUUAUUAGGGAAGAAAAAAUGUGUAAGUAACUAUGAACGUAUUGACGGUACCUAAUCAGAAAGCCACGGCUAACUACGU